Long non-coding RNA from Erinaceus europaeus (western European hedgehog), 150 nucleotides. RefSeq lists it as uncharacterized. The transcript is spliced from 3 exons. NCBI's taxonomy places the organism in Eukaryota, Metazoa, Chordata, Mammalia, Eulipotyphla, Erinaceidae. The record is from RefSeq and is a predicted model, not a curated record.
CAGGUCUGCAAGGCCAGGCAGUAGAGAAGGAGCCAGCAGGGGAGAGGUUCCUGCACAGCAUUAGAUGUGUCUGACUUCUAAGGAAAAUGAGACUCCAGACACAUUGAUGGGGCAUCAACAAGACUGUGGAUAGGAAAUGAGUGAGCUGCC